RNAcentral lists this ribosomal RNA (272 nucleotides) under uncultured Staphylococcus sp. Its description in RNAcentral is "partial 16S ribosomal RNA". It matches the Rfam family "Bacterial small subunit ribosomal RNA", at positions 90 to 354 of the family's 1533-position model. The record is from RNAcentral. Lineage: Bacteria; Bacillati; Bacillota; Bacilli; Caryophanales; Staphylococcaceae.
CGUUAGCGGCGGACGGGUGAGUAACACGUGGGUAACCUACCUAUAAGACUGGGACAACUUCGGGAAACCGGAGCUAAUACCGGAUAAGAUAUCGAACCGCAUGGUUCGAUAGUGAAAGAUGGUUUUGCUAUCACUUAUAGAUGGACCCGCGCCGUAUUAGCUAGUUGGUGAGGUAACGGCUCACCAAGGCAACGAUACGUAGCCGACCUGAGAGGGUGAUCGGCCACACUGGAACUGAGACACGGUCCAGACUCCUACGGGAGGCAGCAGGG